Entelurus aequoreus (snake pipefish) is the source of this 847-nucleotide long non-coding RNA. RefSeq lists it as uncharacterized. The record is from RefSeq and is a predicted model, not a curated record. Lineage: Eukaryota; Metazoa; Chordata; Actinopteri; Syngnathiformes; Syngnathidae. The transcript has 3 exons.
UCACAUUGUUGGGGGGACAAUUAAUAUGUGACGGAAUAAGAGAAGCAGCAUGAGACAGCAAGCAUUUGAUUAAAGACGUUAAUGGAGUCUCGGCUUGAAAAUAAACUUUAUUCCCUCAGAGUUUGUGAGGCCAAUGAGUUCUGACGGCAUUAUUUUGGCAUCGUUGUUUACGAGAAGAAGGCGUGGCUUAAAAUAAAUGUCUGUUUGAGAAAAAUGAACAAAUUGAGCCUUGAAUAAGACCUCGGAGGGAGUAACAGUCAGAACUCAGCCUACAUCGCGCUGAAGAGAAGGAGAGACGGAGAGGGAACCUGUCGCAGAAGUGGAGCCGUUAACGAGCAGCUCUUCGAUGAGUGACGUCAUCGCUCUCAAUCUUCAAAGGAAAGAAGCCGCAUGCACGGACAUUCCAGAAGCAAUCAGUGUCCAAGGAGUUCUAUCGGGUUCUUUUGGCUCAUAGGACUCCUGAGGCAGCGGACAGGUACCGACAGGCCAAGCGGUGUGCGGCUUCGGCGGAGGCAAAAACUCGGACAUGGGAGGAGUUCGGGGAAGCCAUGGAAGACGACUUCCGGACGGCUUCGAAGCGAUUCUGGACCACCAUCCGCCGCCUCAGGAAGGGGAAGCAGUGCACUAUCAACACCGUGUAUGGUGAGGAUGGUGUUCUGCUGACCUCGACAUCGGGGGCGGUACCUCUGGAUUGGCAGACCGGGGUGGUGGUUCCUCUCUUUAAGAAGGGGAACCGGAGGGUGUGUUCUAACUAUCGUGGGAUCACACUCCUCAGCCUUCCCGGUAAGGUCUAUUCAGGUGUGCUGGAGAGGAGGCUACGCCGGAUAGUCGAACCUCGGAUUCAGGA